RNAcentral lists this ribosomal RNA (468 nucleotides) under uncultured bacterium. Its description in RNAcentral is "partial 16S ribosomal RNA". It matches the Rfam family "Bacterial small subunit ribosomal RNA", at positions 28 to 507 of the family's 1533-position model. The record is from RNAcentral.
GACGAACGCUGGCGGCGUGCUUAACACAUGCAAGUCGAACGGGAAGGCCCGGCCUUGGUGGGCUGGUCCAGUGGCGAACGGGUGAGUAACACGUGAGUAACCUGCCCCUGACUUUGGGAUAACCUCAGGAAACUGGGGCUAAUACCGGAUAAGAGCUACCGCUGCAUGGUGGGGGUUGGAAAGUUUUGGCGGUUGGGGAUGGACUCGCGGCCUAUCAGCUUGUUGGUGGGGUAGUGGCUUACCAAGGCAUGGACGGGUAGCCGGCCUGAGAGGGUGACCGGCCACAUUGGGAUUGAGAUAAGGCCCAGACUACUACGGGAGGCAGCAGUGGGGAAUAUUGCACAAUGGGCGGAAGCCUGAUGCAGCAACGCCGCGUGGGGGAUGACGGGCUUCGGGUUGUAAACCGCUUUCGCCUGUGACGAAGCGAGAGUGACGGUAAUGGGUGAAGAAGCACCGGCUAACUACGUG